RNAcentral lists this unclassified non-coding RNA (441 nucleotides) under Hevea brasiliensis (rubber tree). The record is from RNAcentral. Lineage: Eukaryota; Viridiplantae; Streptophyta; Magnoliopsida; Malpighiales; Euphorbiaceae.
UCAUAAUAAUUAUAAUAAUAUGCUGACGUCCCAUCAUCAUUGACAGGAGAAUAUUCUAGUCUAGGCUGUUUGGCUGACACUGAAAUUACAUUUGCAAAAGUGUGGUGCUUAAGUUUUGCCGAAUGAUUGAAGUUGUUAGUUCUGAAAAUAAUGGAAGUUUCUACCUUAGAUGCAUAGCGCAGCAUCGAGUAAAUUCAACACUCAACCUUAAUCCUAAUCUAAUUGAAAUUGGCUAAAAAACCCAGUUUUGAAGCGAAAAUUAAUGUUAUGUAUUCCAUGUAUAAAACUAGUAAAUUAUCAUCUUUGUUCUAAUCGUCACAUUGCAUGUUAAUCUGGAAUGUCUUUACGGAUGUAAUGGCUCGGUGAUAUAUGAAACAUAAACUAAUUGAAAUAAAUCUAUUGCUUUUUGAAAUUUUCAGUGCUUGCUGUUAAUGAGAAAAC